GUGGGUAGUUUGACUGGGGCGGUCUCCUCCCAAAGAGUAACGGAGGAGCACGAAGGUUAGCUAAUCCUGGUCGGACAUCAGGAGGUUAGUGCAAUGGCAUAAGCUAGCUUGACUGCGAGCGUGACGGCGCGAGCAGGUGCGAAAGCAGGUCAUAGUGAUCCGGUGGUUCUGAAUGGAAGGGCCAUCGCUCAACGGAUAAAAGGUACUCCGGGGAUAACAGGCUGAUACCGCCCAAGAGUUCAUAUCGACGGCGGUGUUUGGCACCUCGAUGUCGGCUCAUCACAUCCUGGGGCUGAAGUAGGUCCCAAGGGUAUGGCUGUUCGCCAUUUAAAGUGGUACGCGAGCUGGGUUUAGAACGUCGUGAGACAGUUCGGUCCCUAUCUGCCGUGGGCGCUGGAGAAUUGAGGGGGGCUGCUCCUAGUACGAGAGGACCGGAGUGGACGCAUCACUGGUGUUCGGGUUGUCAUGCCAAUGGCAUUGCCCGGUAGCUAAAUGCGGAAGAGAUAAGUGCUGAAAGCAUCUAAGCACGAAACUUGCCCCGAGAUGAGUUCUCCCUGAGACUUUAAGUCUCCUGAAGGAACGUUAAAGACGAUGACGUUGAUAGGUCGGGUGUGUAAGCGUAGCGAUACGUUGAGCUAACCGAUACUAAUGAACCGUGAGGC
Molecule: ribosomal RNA, 662 nt
Filed under: Klebsiella aerogenes
Lineage: Bacteria; Pseudomonadati; Pseudomonadota; Gammaproteobacteria; Enterobacterales; Enterobacteriaceae
Description: partial 23S ribosomal RNA
Rfam family: Bacterial large subunit ribosomal RNA
Source: RNAcentral